UCCCCACGAUCUCCACCUCUUCCACUUCUUCACCUCCAUUAUCUCCAUGACUACUGUAUGUAUAAAAUCUCAAGAAUGGUCUUCUCAUCAGUCAUCAUCAUCCAUCGAUUAUUCUCAGAAAUCAGUGACUUUUACUCAUCCCAAAGGCUUAACGGAGCUUAAUCGGUGAUGAAGAAUCAAAUCAAAUCAUAUAGUCUCUUCUUCGCUGAUUACUCUUAUUUCUCUGUGAUCUCACCUUAUGGAAUAAUAUCUCCCUUUCUUUGCAUGUAAUUGUAGCUCACAGUAUCUCACCUUGAUUCACGUUUAAUUGCUUUUCA
Molecule: long non-coding RNA, 317 nt
Organism: Arabidopsis lyrata subsp. lyrata
Lineage: Eukaryota; Viridiplantae; Streptophyta; Magnoliopsida; Brassicales; Brassicaceae
Exons: 2
Source: RefSeq, a predicted model, not a curated record